GGACUGUAGUCUGCAACCCGACUACACGAAGCUGGAAUCGCUAGUAAUCGCGAAUCGGAAUGUCGCGGUGAAUACGUUCCCGGGUCUUGUACACACCGCCCGUCACACCAUGGGAGUCGGGAAUGCCCGAAGUCAGUGACCCAACCUAUUGGAGGGAGCUGCCGAAGGCAGGUCUGAUAACUGGGGUGAAGUCGUAACAAGGUACC
RNAcentral lists this ribosomal RNA (206 nucleotides) under uncultured bacterium. RNAcentral's name for it is "partial 16S ribosomal RNA". It matches the Rfam family "Bacterial small subunit ribosomal RNA", at positions 1295 to 1500 of the family's 1533-position model. The record is from RNAcentral.